Molecule: ribosomal RNA, 161 nt
Filed under: uncultured bacterium
Lineage: Bacteria
Description: partial 16S ribosomal RNA
Rfam family: Bacterial small subunit ribosomal RNA
Source: RNAcentral
UGGGGGCAACCCUGAUCCAGCCAUGCCGCGUGUGUGAAGAAGGCCCUAGGGUUGUAAAGCACUUUCAGUGGGGAGGAAAAGCUGACGGCUAAUACCCGUCGGCCAUGACGCUACCCACAGAAGAAGCACCGGCAAACUCCGUGCCAGCAGCCGCGGUAAUA